This 494-nucleotide ribosomal RNA is filed under the name uncultured bacterium. Its description in RNAcentral is "bacterial SSU rRNA". It matches the Rfam family "Bacterial small subunit ribosomal RNA", at positions 37 to 507 of the family's 1533-position model. The record is from RNAcentral.
GAACGCGUAGCGGCAGGCUUAAUACAUGCAAGUGAGGGGCGAGCAUGAUAUACGCGAGUAUAUUGAUGGCGACCGGCGGACGGGUGAGUAAUAGGUAGGAGACCUACCUCAUACAGGGGGAUAGCAUAGAGAAAUCUGUGGUAAUACCCCAUGAGGUUAUAUGAAUAGAGGCAUAUAAUCAAAGCAUAAGCGAUUAUGCGGUAUGAGAGGGGCCUACUGACCAUUAGCUAGUUGGUGAGGUAAGGGCUCACCAAGGCGAAGAUGGUUAGGGGUUUUGAGAGAGAGACCCCCCCACAUUGGAACUGAGAGACGGUCCAGACUCCUACGGGAGGCAGCAGUAGGGAAUAUUGGGCAAUGGGCGAAAGCCUGACCCAGCCAUGCCGCGUGAAGGAAGACGGCCUUAUGGGUUGUAAACUUCUUUACUACGCGAAUAGAGGUUAGUACGAGAUACUAAUAGGAAGGUAGUGUAGUAAAAAGCACCGGCUAACUCCGUG